This 253-nucleotide ribosomal RNA is filed under the name uncultured bacterium. Its description in RNAcentral is "partial 16S ribosomal RNA". It matches the Rfam family "Bacterial small subunit ribosomal RNA", at positions 524 to 776 of the family's 1533-position model. The record is from RNAcentral.
UACAGAGGGGGCAAGCGUUAUUCGGAAUUAUUGGGCGUAAAGGGCGCGUAGGCGGCAUGGCAAGUGGAAGGUGAAAUCCCUCGGCUCAACUGAGGAACUGCCCUCCAAACUGCUUUGCUUGAGUCCGGGAGAGGUGAGUGGAACUGCGAGUGUAGAGGUGAAAUUCGUAGAUAUUCGCAAGAACACCAGUGGCGAAGGCGGCUCACUGGCCCGAUACUGACGCUGAGGCACGAAAGCGUGGGGAGCAAACAGG